CUUUCUCUGUCUGAAGCUUGGACUAUUCAUGAGAGGACUUCCUACUCCAAGACAUAAGGGAGUCUUGCUCAGAAGGAGGAGCUCCUGUCUGCUGAGGACACGGUUCCAUCCAAUGAGCUUCAUCAUGGCCUAUGAACAGCCAAAGGGUAAAAUGAUCAGAAAACUGGACAGUUUUUGACAGUCUGUAAGUAACUACUGUGGCCUACUCAACUGCCUGGCCUUUUGAAAAGCACACUUAGAAGCUGGUGAUGUCCAUGGGACCACAUACCGGGAAAUGACAGAGGUGUAUAUUUACAAAGUAACUCUUGAC
This 310-nucleotide long non-coding RNA is filed under the name Homo sapiens (human). RNAcentral's name for it is "LNC_000803". Lineage: Eukaryota; Metazoa; Chordata; Mammalia; Primates; Hominidae. The record is from RNAcentral.